Myotis lucifugus (little brown bat) is the source of this 73-nucleotide non-coding RNA. The record is from Rfam. NCBI's taxonomy places the organism in Eukaryota, Metazoa, Chordata, Mammalia, Chiroptera, Vespertilionidae.
GGUGGUUCUUGCGUGACACCCUGGAAUCGGGCUCCCUCUUCUCUGGUUCCGGGUGUGUCACCCAAGAACCGCA